The sequence is a ribosomal RNA, 126 nucleotides long. It matches the Rfam family "Eukaryotic large subunit ribosomal RNA", at positions 99 to 224 of the family's 3401-position model.
CGGCAAAAGCUCAAAUUUGAAAUCUGGCCCUUUCAGGGUCCGAGUUGUAAUUUGUAGAAGAUGCUUCGGGUGUGGCUCCAGUUUAAGUUCUUUGGAAUAUUACAUCAUAGAGGGUGAGAAUCCCGU